RNAcentral lists this small RNA (502 nucleotides) under Pongo abelii (Sumatran orangutan). Its description in RNAcentral is "retained intron". Lineage: Eukaryota; Metazoa; Chordata; Mammalia; Primates; Hominidae. The record is from RNAcentral.
GGGAGACCGAGACAGUGCCAGGGGCGGGAGGCCGGGGCUAGGGCCGGGGUCUGGGCGGGGGUGUGCCGGAGGCCGGAGUCCGGGUCGGGGCGCCGGGGGCGGGAGGCCGGGGUCCGGGCGAGGGCUGCCUGCGCCCCUGAGUGCGCGCUGUGCCCGCAGUGCUGAAGCGGCGUCUGGUGAAGCUGGUGGUGAAUUUUCUCUUCUACUUUCGGACAGACGAGGCCGAGCCCGUCGGAGCCCUGCUGCUGGAGCGCUGCAGAGUCAUCCGGGAAGAACCCGGCACCUUCUCCAUCAGCUUCAUCGAGGACCCUGAGAGGAAGUAUCACUUUGAGUGCAGCAGCGAGGAGCAGUGUCAAGAGUGGAUGGAGGCUCUGCGUCAGGCCAGCUACGAGUUCAUGCGGAGAAGCCUCAUCUUCUACAGGAAUGAAAUACGGAAGGUGACGGGCAAGGACCCCCUGGAACAGUUCGGCAUAUCCGAGGAGGCCAGGUUCCAGCUGAGUGG